CAGCGGCAGCAUAAAACUGCGGCUUGCGCUACCCAGGGGAACGAACGUCCUCGUAGUUCCAACGGGCGCAGUCGUACGAGACGCCGUGCACCUUCUCCGGGCUGCUCGGCCUUCAACUGAAGAGGAAGCUGCCUGCAGGACUGAGAGUCCUUCUGGGCUUGCUCCUGAGCGAAAUGCAACCUUCUAGGGCAUGACCAGCUUGCAUCAGUUUUGUUUAAGAAGCUCGGUAGGAAGAGGAUGGGAAGGGCUGCAGGAGAUGACUUGUGCCAGACCAGUCUCUGCUAGUGUUCUUCAGAGCAGCGUCCUCUCUUCAAGGAUUUUACUGAAGAAACAGCAGAUCAAGAUUGAGAUAUGGUAAAUCAAGGUGUUGAUCAAAGUGCUGAAUGGCAGAGCUGAGCUGGUCCGCGAGCAGCGCUUUUCCUCACGAAGACGUGGAGGGCACCAGAAUGCAGCGCAGGCACCUUGUGCCUGAAUGACAGGCACAAGUCCCCAGCCUGAGCCACGUGACCCAACGGCAGGAUGAGAUGUGCUACUCGUCUGUCUUUGUCUUUGGGCUCAGAGACCGUAAGAUACUGUCCCCCUGCAACACAAAAAGGUGGUGUUAGUUUUUUAACUGUACUACAUUUCAGGAACAAACGCGCAACAGUUAUUUAAAAAAGAAAGGGAGGUCUCCAAGGUCCAGUGAAUCUUAAAUACAGUCUAUAGUUGCUGGGAACCGUGAUCCAGAACUGAUGCAUCUCCCUCUCCAAGCUGAGCAGGAUUUACAGUGUUGAGUCUUCUGGUUUUUAUGCUGGUACCAGUGCCGGUCUGCAAGCAGGGCACAGUUACCUGUUCUCUGAGCUGCAGGAGGAAGGAGCUCUGCUAUGCAAGUCACUUUAGUGUCUUCACAAGCAUAUGAAACACUGCAGCACGUGGGGAGGGGCCUGCCCCGAAAGUGAGAACGGCACUUCCCUUACGCAGCUGAACAGCCCGGAGAAGGCACAGGGGUCACCUGCCGCAGCAGCACACGAGUGUCUCAUCAGUGGCAGCGUAAGCACAGACACCUACGACAAGGGGGUUUGUAAGGAAAACGGCGCUGGGUGCCUUAACUGCCUCAGCUUAGCCCACGCGGCCUGAGCGGGGGGGGGUCUCCUCCCGAGUCGGCGCCCGCUCACACAGUGCCGCCCUGCGCGCUCCAGAGGCUGCUGGCUACGGAGCAGCCCCUUGGCACGGGGGCCAGAGCGCGCGUGCCUAAUCCCCAGCGCUGCGGGGGGGAAGGGCAAAAUCGGCUGGGGACAAAACACAACCAACUUCUGGCUUUGCCCAUUUGCAGUUCUGCGGGGGCUGCGCAGGGAGGAGGCCCCUGCUGUGCAGUGCAGAUGCAAGCACUCCUCCCACCCCGCAAGCGCUGGUGCGCAGGCCGCUGUCACAUUCACGUCAAGGUCACUUUUACCAUUCCAGACAUACGCCGGCAACGUUUUCAGAAGGCGCUGCGUAUUAGCAACCUACCUUUACUUAACAGUUUUUGUUAUACACAGUUGCUGUAGCUUAUAGCAGAAUUUUACAAAAUCAAACUGAGACACAAACCAGAAAAAGAACAUUGCAUUUGGCAGCAGAACAAAAAUAUUUCCAACUCUGUCUAUAAUUUUACUAGUAAUACGGAAAUAAUUACGUUUGCAUGAUGUCUUGAAAAAUAAGCUUUGUUUCUGCAUAAAUAAAAGUUGUUCUCUAGUCCCCAUUAUCAUUUUGAUUCUUUUAAGUUCAAAUUCUCAACUGAUCUUUACUGCUGUGAAUGCUCAGUUUUGAUUCUUUCUGCACAGAAGAGGUGUAGGUGUGAAAUGUUUCACACAAUUAAAGGGAACAGAGUCUGUGUAAACUUAUUACAACAGGAGAACUGUCAUCAGCCUCUGCAGGACCAAGUCUGGGUGGUUCCUCAGCCACACGAUGCAACUGUACACAUGCAUCUUACCUGAUGGAUCUUGAACUGGUUCCCAGUGCAAAUCAUCAUCUUUGUCCUUGAUCCAGCCACACAGCCCGCUAUCAAAAUUACAGCUGUGUAUCAGCACACCUAGGCAGAACAGAGCAAAAGUUUUUAAAAAAGUGAUUCUGACCCUUUGGUUGGGGAACUACAGCAACUUCCCCUGUGGCUGACACUGGCAAACAAAUACGUUUAUGAAAAUAAAAUGCAGCGAAAGGAACUCUAGAAAAAAGACUCUACAAAAAUACUGAAACAAUAAAAAGGAUGCUAUUAUUAUUA
Molecule: long non-coding RNA, 2236 nt
Organism: Rhea pennata
Lineage: Eukaryota; Metazoa; Chordata; Aves; Rheiformes; Rheidae
Exons: 5
Source: RefSeq, a predicted model, not a curated record